This 486-nucleotide ribosomal RNA is filed under the name uncultured bacterium. Its description in RNAcentral is "bacterial SSU rRNA". It matches the Rfam family "Bacterial small subunit ribosomal RNA", at positions 28 to 534 of the family's 1533-position model. The record is from RNAcentral.
GAUGAACGCUAGCGGCGUGCCUAACACAUGCAAGUCGAACGUGAGAGGGUACUUGUAUCCUUGAAAGUGGCGGACGGGUGAGUAAGACGUAGGUGACCUGCCUUGAAGUGGGGGAUAACCAUUGGAAACGAUGGCUAAUACCGCAUAAGCUGGUGAUGAUGGGAAUCGUUAUCAGGAAAGCUUUAGUGCUUUGAGAGGGGCCUACGGCCGAUUAGCUAGUUGGUGAGGUAAAGGCUCACCAAGGCGAUGAUCGGUAGCUGGUCUGAGAGGACGAUCAGCCACACGGGAACUGAGACACGGUCCCGACUCCUACGGGGGGCAGCAGUGAGGAAUAUUCGGCAAUGGGGGCAACCCUGACCGAGCAACGCCGCGUGGAGGAUGACGGUUUUCGGAUUGUAAACUCCUUUUGCGGGGACGAUUGUGACUGUACCCCGCGAAUCAGGCUCGGCUAACUCUGUGCCAGCAGCCGCGGUAAGGCGUAUGUGU